This 418-nucleotide ribosomal RNA is filed under the name uncultured eukaryote. RNAcentral's name for it is "SSU rRNA". It matches the Rfam family "Eukaryotic small subunit ribosomal RNA", at positions 592 to 1018 of the family's 1831-position model. The record is from RNAcentral.
CAAUAGCGUAUAUUAAAGUUGUUGCAGUUAAAAAGCUCGUAGUUGGAUUUCAGAGUGAGCUCGUCCGGUCGGCCUAAAUGGUCUGAACUGGUUGACUCUCUCUUGCUUGUGGAUCCCGCCCGGAGUUAACUCUUCGGAUGUGGACUUCACAUCGUUUACCUUGAAAAAUUAGAGUGUUCAAAGCAGGCGUAUGCUUGAAUAUAUUAGCAUGGAAUAAUGGAAUAGGACCCUGGUUCUAUUUUGUUGGUUUUGAGGACCAGAGUAAUGAUUAAUAGGGAUAGUUGGGGGCAUUCAUAUUUCAUUGUCAGAGGUGAAAUUCUUGGAUUUAUGAAAGAUGAACUUCUGCGAAAGCAUUUGCCAAGGAUGUUUUCAUUAAUCAAGAACGAAAGUUAGGGGAUCGAAGACGAUUAGAUACCAU